RNAcentral lists this ribosomal RNA (647 nucleotides) under uncultured bacterium. Its description in RNAcentral is "bacterial SSU rRNA". It matches the Rfam family "Bacterial small subunit ribosomal RNA", at positions 110 to 753 of the family's 1533-position model. The record is from RNAcentral.
GUAAUGUCUGGGAAACUGCCUGAUGGAGGGGGAUAACUACUGGAAACGGUAGCUAAUACCGCAUGACCUCGCAAGAGCAAAGUGGGGGACCUUCGGGCCUCACGCCAUCGGAUGUGCCCAGAUGGGAUUAGCUAGUAGGUGAGGUAAUGGCUCACCUAGGCGACGAUCCCUAGCUGGUCUGAGAGGAUGACCAGCCACACUGGAACUGAGACACGGUCCAGACUCCUACGGGAGGCAGCAGUGGGGGAUAUUGCACAAUGGGCGCAAGCCUGAUGCAGCCAUGCCGCGUGUGUGAAGAAGGCCUUCGGGUUGUAAAGCACUUUCAGCGAGGAGGAAGGCCAGUGACUUAAUAAGUGACUGGAUUGACGUUACUCGCAGAAGAAGCACCGGCUAACUCCGUGCCAGCAGCCGCGGUAAUACGGAGGGUGCAAGCGUUAAUCGGAAUUACUGGGCGUAAAGCGCACGCAGGCGGUUUGUUAAGUCAGAUGUGAAAUCCCCGAGCUUAACUUGGGAACUGCAUUUGAAACUGGCAAGCUAGAGUCUUGUAGAGGGGGGUAGAAUUCCAGGUGUAGCGGUGAAAUGCGUAGAGAUCUGGAGGAAUACCGGUGGCGAAGGCGGCCCCCUGGACAAAGACUGACGCUCAGGUG